Chlorocebus sabaeus (green monkey) is the source of this 104-nucleotide small nuclear RNA. Lineage: Eukaryota; Metazoa; Chordata; Mammalia; Primates; Cercopithecidae. The record is from Ensembl.
GUACUUGCUUCAGCAGCACAUACACUAAAACCGGAGCAAUACAGAGAUUAGCAUGGUCCUUGCCCAGAGAUGAUAUGCAUAUUUGUGAAGUAUUUUUUUUGUUU